RNAcentral lists this ribosomal RNA (253 nucleotides) under uncultured bacterium. RNAcentral describes it as "partial 16S ribosomal RNA". It matches the Rfam family "Bacterial small subunit ribosomal RNA", at positions 524 to 776 of the family's 1533-position model. The record is from RNAcentral.
UACGUAGGGUGCAAGCGUUAAUCGGAAUUACUGGGCGUAAAGCGUGCGCAGGCGGUUGUGUAAGACAGAUGUGGAAUCCCCGGGCUCAACCUGGGAACUGCAUUUGUGACUGCACAGCUGGAGUGCGGCAGAGGGGGAUGGAAUUCCGCGUGUAGCAGUGAAAUGCGUAGAUAUGCGGAGGAACACCGAUGGCGAAGGCAAUCCCCUGGGCCUGCACUGACGCUCAUGCACGAAAGCGUGGGGAGCAAACAGG